CUGUUGUUAAAGUUUUUAAAAUUUCAAAAACUUUCUUAAACUAUUCUGGAUUUGUACCAAACUUGGACAGAAGCUUUGUUUUUUAUCAUAAGAUAGUAUCCAGAAGUAAAUUUUGUAAAAUAGUUCCAUUUUUUUCUGUAUCUUACUUAUAAAUGGACUUGGUUUUUUCUUCCAUUUAACAUUUCAUACAGUCUGCAGUUAAAGUUUUUAAAACAUCACAAGAUUCACAAACUAUCAUGCAUUUUUACCAAACGUGGACAAAAGCUUCUUACAAUCAAAAGAGAGUAUCGAGAAGAUUAUUUUUAUUGUUUUUUUCCCUCAUUUUUGUUGUGUGUGCGAUUAACAGCAAAAGUAGGCGAGACACUGGGUUCCACGGAACCCUUACGAUUUUGUUGUUGUUUUUGUAAUGGCAAUUUUAGCAUUCUCUCCUCCUUCAAAUGUAUAUAAUCUUUAUAAAGUUCAUUCCAAAUAAGCAAGAGAGAACAAUUUAAAAUACCAAAUGAAUUCAACGGAUAGAUUAGCAGACAGAUAAGACAAAG
Molecule: long non-coding RNA, 539 nt
Filed under: Mytilus galloprovincialis (Mediterranean mussel)
Lineage: Eukaryota; Metazoa; Mollusca; Bivalvia; Mytilida; Mytilidae
Source: RNAcentral